Molecule: small RNA, 547 nt
Filed under: Pan troglodytes (chimpanzee)
Lineage: Eukaryota; Metazoa; Chordata; Mammalia; Primates; Hominidae
Description: processed transcript
Source: RNAcentral
CGAUGUUGGCAUACCCAGAGAGUAUCUCUUUCUGGCCAAACAGGGGCUCCCCUGAUGAUCUGAGGCCUUUUCCUCAGCACUUGUGGCCCCAGGAGCAUGAGGGGACAUAAAGGGGCAGCCUGACUCAGGCUGAACCUUGUGCCCUUGGACUCACCUUCCCACUCCCUGCUCAGCCUGGGUCCUCUGGUGGCCAAAGUGAAGGAGUACCAGGUGGAGACCAUCGUGGACACCCUGUGCACCAACAUGCGGUCAGACAAGGAGCAGCUGCGAGACAUCGCCGGCAUUGGCCUCAAGACCGUCCUCUCGGAGCUCCCCCCUGCAGCCACAGGCUCCGGGCUGGCCACCAACGUGUGCCGGAAGAUCACAGGCCAGCUCACCAGUGCCAUUGCCCAGCAGGAGGAUGUGGCUGUGCAGCUGGAAGCCCUGGACAUCCUCUCUGACAUGCUGAGCAGGCUGGGUGUCCCGCUGGGCGCCUUCCACGCCAGCCUCCUGCACUGUCUGCUGCCACAGCUGAGCAGCCCGCGCCUGGCGGUGCGCAAGCGGGCGG